Molecule: ribosomal RNA, 253 nt
Filed under: uncultured bacterium
Lineage: Bacteria
Description: partial 16S ribosomal RNA
Rfam family: Bacterial small subunit ribosomal RNA
Source: RNAcentral
UACGGGGGGGGCAAGCGUUGUUCGGAAUUACUGGGCGUAAAGGGCUCGUAGGUGGCCAACUAAGUCAGACGUGAAAUCCCCAGGCUCAACUUGGGAACUGCGUCUGAUACUGGAUGGCUUGAAUCCGGGAGAGGGAUGCAGAAUUCCAGGUGUAGCGGUGAAAUGCGUAGAUAUCUGGAGGAAUACCGGUGGCGAAGGCGGCAUCCUGGACCGACAUUGACGCUGAGGAGCGAAAGUUAGGGGAGCAAACGGG